This 862-nucleotide ribosomal RNA is filed under the name Strombidinopsis acuminata. Its description in RNAcentral is "partial Bacterial large subunit ribosomal RNA". It matches the Rfam family "Bacterial large subunit ribosomal RNA", at positions 188 to 1116 of the family's 2925-position model. Lineage: Eukaryota; Ciliophora; Spirotrichea; Choreotrichida; Strombidinopsidae. The record is from RNAcentral.
GGGAACUGAAACAUCUAAGUACCCAGAGGAAAGGAAAUCAACCGAGACUCCGUGAGUAGCGGCGAGCGAAAGCGGAUUGCGACUUAAGUCAGUGAACGCGUUGGAAAGCGCGGCCAAAGAAGGUGAUAGCCCUGUAGUUGGAUGAUGUCGCUCAGCCCUAGAGUAGCGUCGGUGUCGUGAAACCCGGCGUGAACAUGGGGGGUCCACCCUCCAAGGCUAAGUACUACUUGACGACCGAUAGUUAACCAGUAAGGCGACUGAAUGAUGAAAACUACCCCUGCUAGGGGUGUGAAAGAGUAGCUGAAACCAUGUGCUUACACAGCGGUCAGAGCCCUUCGGGGUGAUGGCGUGCCUUUUGCAUAAUGACCCGGCGAGUUACUCUCAUUGGCGAGGUUAAGGCCUAGCGGGCCGAAGCCGAAGCGAAAGCGAGUCUGAAAUAGGCGUUGAGUCGAUGGGAGUAGACGCGAAACCUUGUGAUCUACCCAUGGGCAGGCUGAAGGCCGGGUAAAACCGGCUGGAGGGCCGAACGCACCAACGUUGAAAAGUUGGGCGAUGACCUGUGGGGAGGACUAAAAGUGUAAUCAAACUGGGAGAUAGCUCGUUCUCUCCGAAAUAUUUUUAGGAAUAGCCUCUUGCGGCAACUGUUGGGGGUAGAGCCACUGGAUACGGAUGGGGCCCUCGGGUACCCACUGUAACCAAACUCCGAAUACCAACAGCCAAGGCAAGGGAGUCAGCCCACGAGUGACAAUAUCCGUGGACAAAAGGGAAACAUCCCAGACCGCCAGCUAAGGUCCCUGAACAUUGCUUAGUUCUAAAGGAAGUCGAAGCGCAAAGACAGCCAGGAUGUUGGCUUAGAAGCAGC